UUUGCUGAAACAUGUUUAUGAACUGACCAAGAUGUAAUUGGAUGGCAUGAAAGAAGCUAAAAUUUAUUUAAUUUCUUGCUAUCUGGUUUGUGGCAUAUGGUGCCUUAAAUUGAGUUUAGAAGAAACUUUUCAGAUGGAAUUUUGUUCUGUUGCCCAGGUUGGAGUGUAGUGGCGUGAUCUCAGCUCACUGCAACCUUUGCCUCCUGGAUUCAAGUGAUUUUCCUGCCUCAGCCUCCCAAGUAGCUGGGAUCACAGGCACCUGCCACCAUGCCUGGCUAAUUUUUAUAUUUUUAGUAGAGAUGAGGUUUUACCAUAUUGGCCAGGCUGCUCUCAAACUCCUGACCUCAACUGAUCUGCCCACCUCAGCCUCACAAAGUGUUGGGAUUACAGGUUUGAGCCACUGCGCCUGCCGAGGGUGUCAUAUUUAAUUCUACUUCCUGUGGUCUCCUACAAUACCAAUCAUGCAUGGAGCCCAUGGUUUUGCGGCACCUAGUUUUACUCAAACAAAGGCCCUGGACUUUUAUAGUUUACACUGACAUAUUCUAGUUUGCCUCUGAAAUGUACUCUGAGGAUGCUGACUUCCAGAUUGUCAUUCUUGGCUUCCAGAUAGUUAUUUUUGGGUGAAGGGAAUUUCAAGUCUUUUGAGUAUAGUAGCCACACCACUUUGCUUCAUUUUGGUUUGGUUACAAAAUUUAUUUUAGCUUAGUUUUCUUAGAUUAAGUGGGCAAAGACAAAGCAGAAGAUUUUGGGAGGCUAAGGUGGGUAGAUCAUGAGGUCAGGAGUUUGAGACUGAUGUGGCCAAUGUGGUGAAAUUCUGUCUUUCCUAAAAAUACAAAAGUUAGCUAAGCAUGGUGGUGCAUACUUGUAAUCCCCACCACUUGGGAGGCUGAGGCAGGUGAAUUGCUUGAACCCAGGAGCCUCUUGAGAAGUUGGGACUACAGCACAUGCCACCAUACUCAGCUAAUUUUUUUUAUUUUUAGUGGAGACAAGGUUUCUCUAUGUCACCCAGGCUGGUUUCAAACUCCUGGACCUAAGUGCUUCACCUGCCGUGGCCUUUCAAACUGCUGCAAUUACAGGUGUGAACCACCAUGCCUGGUUUUUUUUUUUUUUCUCAUUUUUCUCUCUUCCCUUCCUUCUUUGGUAGAUGGAAAUGUGUCAUGUACCAGCUCUUCAUCCAAUGACUGCUCCUCAGUUCCAAAUUCACCCUUCAUUGCCUGCUCUGCAAACAUAGAGGGUUAUUAUUGAAAAUCAAACACAAACUUAAAUGUGUGAAUUGCUGAAUUAAAAUGACAGUUGAAUUCACUGCAUCACCAAGGUUCUCAUGAGAACAUGGGGGCACUAACAGGUGAAGAAUGGGAUUCUCUUACUUUUUCAGACAGUCUCCCUCUGUUGCCCAGGCUAGAGCACAGUGGUGUGAUCUUGGCUCACUGCAGUCUCAACCUCCCAGGCUUAAGCUACCUUCCUGCCUCAGCCUCUGGGAUAGCUGAGGUAUGACCACAGGUAUGAGCCACCACACCCAAGUAAUAUUUUGUGUUUUGUAGAGAUGUGGUUUCACCACAUUGCCCAGACUGGUCUUAAACUCCUGGGCUCAAGACAUCAACCCACCUUAGACUUCUAAAGUUUUGAGAUUAUAGGCAGCAGACACCAUGCCCGGCCCUGUUUUCUUUGGUACUGGUUUAUUGUGAAGGCCUCCAAUUGUCUUUCUGACUUCUAGGCUUGCUCACUUCAGCCUGUUCACUGAAGCCAGAAGAAUUUUUCUAAAAGGCAAAUUUGGGUCAGAAUGGUUCUUGAUUAAAACCUGCUGGUGACUGCCCAUUGCCUUUAAGAUAAAAUCCAAACUAAUUUGGCCACAGGGCCUGGUAAGAGCUGGCCUCGGCUCCAGUUUUAUCCUGCACCAUUCUCCUCAUAUCCCUACCCUCCAGCCACAUGGAAUGUCAGUUUCCUUGGGGGACUUUACUGGUGUCCUUCAGGAAACCUUCCCCUACCCUCAUCAUUACUCUUUGACUCUCAUAUUUGCUCAUCUUUAGCCUCAGGCAAGGUGUCUCACCCCAUUCUCUAUGAUGCGACAAGAAGCCCCUUGGGAGCAUUUUAGUCCCACUCUGUACUUCUGUCAUUGUGAUCCUCACAGUCUGGUAAGUGUUUGCAUAUGAUUGCUAUAUUAGUCUGUUUUGCAUUGUUAUAAGCAUAUAUGUGAGACUCAGUACUUUAUAAAUAAAAAAGGUUGUCCAGGCACAGCAGCUCAUGCCUGUAAUCCCAGCACUUUGGGAAGCCAAGGCAGGUGGAUCACAAGGUCAAGGGAUUGAGACCAUCCUGGCCAACAUGGUGAAACCCCAUCUCUACUAAAAUAUAAAAAUUAAGCUGAGCUUCCUGGUGCAUGCCUGUAAUCCCAGCUACUCAGGAGGCUAAG
RNAcentral lists this long non-coding RNA (2407 nucleotides) under Callithrix jacchus (white-tufted-ear marmoset). RNAcentral describes it as "lncRNA (ENSCJAG00000075861.1)". Lineage: Eukaryota; Metazoa; Chordata; Mammalia; Primates; Cebidae. The record is from RNAcentral.